Long non-coding RNA from Pongo pygmaeus (Bornean orangutan), 1094 nucleotides. RefSeq lists it as uncharacterized. The record is from RefSeq and is a predicted model, not a curated record. NCBI's taxonomy places the organism in Eukaryota, Metazoa, Chordata, Mammalia, Primates, Hominidae. The transcript has 3 exons.
GCAGGGUGGGGUUCCUGAGUGUGAGAAACCAGAAUUGAGAGCUGCACCAGCCGUGUGGCCCCAGGUUUCUCAGGGUGAGGAGACGCAGCCCAGGGGAAAGGCACUUGGGACCACACCCCAACUCACCUACCCUGUGUAAUAAAAGAAGGCAUGCAAGAAGAUCUAUAUGCAGUGACGUGCAAAGGUAUCAAGAACAAGUUGCGAAACCCCAUGGUGGUAGGUGCUGAAUGGUUGAAUAAACGAACAGUCCUAAAAUGGAUAUAUUUUGGGGCAACAGUAAGUUGCCCCCAGGAAGAAAAUCACUUUUGGAAAAUAAAACUGGCAAGAAUCUGUGCUAAAUGGAUGAGACCAGCCACAGAAGCACUUCAUCCUAAAAGAUGGUAAAGGUGGUAAAUUAGGCCGGGUGCAGUGGGUUAUGGCUGCAAACUCAGCACUUUGGGAGGCCUAGGUGGGUGGAUUGCUUGAGCCCUGGAGUUCGAGACCAGCCUGGGCAACAUGGUGAAACCCAGUCUCUACAAAAAAUACAAAAAUUAGCCAUUCGUGGUGGGAUGCAACUGUAGUACCAGGUAUUGGGGAGGCUGAGGAAGGAGGAUCACCUGAACCUGGGAGGUCAAGGCUGCAGCGAGCUGAGAUUGCACCACUGUAAUCCAGCCUGGGCAACAGAGUGAGGCCUUGUGACAAAAAAACAAAACAAAACAACAAAAAAAACCCAACCAACUUGGGUUGGGCAGGGUGGCUCACGCCUGUAAUCUGAACACCUUGGGAGGCCGAGGCAGUGGAUCACUUGAGGUCAGGAGUUUGAGACCAGCCUGGACAACAUGGUGAAACCCUGUCUCUACUAAAAUUACAAAAAUUAGCCGGGCAUGAUGGCAGGAGCCUGUAGUCUCAGCUACUCAGGAGGCUGAGGUGGCAGAACUGCUUGAACCCAGGAGGCAGACGUUGCAUUGAGCUGAGAUUGUGCCACUGCAUUCCAGCCUGGAUGAUGGAGCAAGACUCCAUCUCAAAAAAAAAAAAAAAAAUAAAUAAAAACAAAAUAACAAAACUGGGGGAUACCCAAACCCAAUUAAUAUUCAAAUAAAUGCUUGUCAAAUGCC